AUGCCUUGGAGCUCCUGCUAUGUGGCUGUGGUUCUGGUCUUCUUUCCUGUACUUAAAUCUCGUGUUCUUAUGUUUUUUUGGUGGGCUUUCAAGCCACUUGUGUUUGCAUUUUGUCCAAAACUCAUGAAGAUUGAAGUUAUACUUGUAGCUUAUAGGUUUGCAGUUUUUCAAUUCAGUCUACGUUCUACUAAUACCAGUGUGGAGUACAAUGGCUCCUACGGCUCGGCUUCGCGGCCGGGAUCAGGCAUCGCUGGAUCGGUGGCACCAAAGGACGUGUUUGAGGGUGGCUUCUGCUUGUUCAUGAAGGCAACUAAGAAGGAGAAUUUGAUUAAAUUUCUUGAAGGAAAGAAAUAUUUUAUUUUCAGGCAGAAUUUUCAGAGUUUACAUUUGACAAUAUCUUCUCCUGCCAUUGCCAUAUGCCGAUAUGGUUAUAACUCAUAUCAGAAAGGCAAGUUCUUGUCAAAGGAAAUCUUCACCUACGUAAAGGACUGGCUAAGUUUUGUUGUUCGUUCCCGUUCUCGGGUGCUGUCCGGUGGGUCAGUUGUGCUCUUCAGCGCCUUCGUCUUUGUUGUCUCCUACACCUUUGCCUACACCCUCACCCACUACCACGGCUCCCGCAGCAAGAUGCUGGAGGAGACUAACCGUACUACCGAUGAUAACACGCUUCUUGCUUUGGUCCAGUUCGAGGCUGGCUGCAGCCACGACAUCGACGGCAUCCAUAACAAUCGCGGAUCCUUCGACAUCUGGAUUGACCGCUGCUCCGUCGUCGACUACGAUGGCGGGCUCAUCGACAUCAUGCGCCAGAGCAUCUACAUUGCUUGUCUCCAGGUCGUUCCCUUCUCUGUUAUUUGUCCCUGCUACUAA
RNAcentral lists this ribosomal RNA (864 nucleotides) under Triticum aestivum (bread wheat). Its description in RNAcentral is "partial small subunit ribosomal RNA". The record is from RNAcentral. Lineage: Eukaryota; Viridiplantae; Streptophyta; Magnoliopsida; Poales; Poaceae.